GAAGGUAUAGUUCAGUGGUGAAGUGAGUGCUUAGCAUGCACAAGGUUCUGGGUUCAAUCCCCAGUACCUCCA
Transfer RNA from Camelus ferus (Wild Bactrian camel), 72 nucleotides. It matches the Rfam family "tRNA". Rfam says of the family: Transfer RNA (tRNA) molecules are approximately 80 nucleotides in length. Their secondary structure includes four short double-helical elements and three loops (D, anti-codon, and T loops). Further hydrogen bonds mediate the characteristic L-shaped molecular structure. tRNAs have two regions of fundamental functional importance: the anti-codon, which is responsible for specific mRNA codon recognition, and the 3' end, to which the tRNAs corresponding amino acid is attached (by aminoacyl-tRNA synthetases). tRNAs cope with the degeneracy of the genetic code in two manners: having more than one tRNA (with a specific anti-codon) for a particular amino acid; and 'wobble' base-pairing, i.e. permitting non-standard base-pairing at the 3rd anti-codon position. The record is from Rfam. Lineage: Eukaryota; Metazoa; Chordata; Mammalia; Artiodactyla; Camelidae.